Molecule: ribosomal RNA, 508 nt
Filed under: uncultured bacterium
Lineage: Bacteria
Description: partial 16S ribosomal RNA
Rfam family: Bacterial small subunit ribosomal RNA
Source: RNAcentral
GAUGAACGCUAGCUACAGGCUUAACACAUGCAAGUCGAGGGGAAACGAUAGAGAAAGCUUGCUUUUUCUAGGCGUCGACCGGCGCACGGGUGAGUAACGCGUAUCCAACCUGCCCAUCACUUGGGGAUAACCUUGCGAAGGUAAGACUAAUACCCAAUGACGUCCAUAGAAGACAUCUGAAAGGGAUUAAAGAUUUAUCGGUGAUGGAUGGGGAUGCGUCUGAUUAGCUUGUUGGCGGGGUAACGGCCCACCAAGGCGACGAUCAGUAGGGGUUCUGAGAGGAAGGUCACCCACAUUGGAACUGGAAAACGGUCCAAACUCCUACGGGAGGCAGCAGUGAGGAAUAUUGGUCAAUGGGCGAGAGCCUGAACCAGCCAAGUAGCGUGCAGGAUGACGGCCCUAUGGGUUGUAAACUGCUUUUAUAAGGGAAUAAAGUGAGCCUCGUGAGGCUUUUUGCAUGUACCUUAUGAAUAAGGACCGGCUAAUUCCGUGCCAGCCGCCGCGGUAA